CCUACGGGAGGCUGCAGUGAGGAAUAUUGGUCAAUGGGCGGAAGCCUGAACCAGCCAAGUAGCGUGCAGGAUGACGGCCCUACGGGUUGUAAACUGCUUUUAUACGGGAAUAACGCGCCUUACGUGUAGGGCUUUGCAUGUACCGUAUGAAUAAGGACCGGCUAAUUCCGUGCCAUCAGCCGCGGUAAUACGGAAGGUCCGGGCGUUAUCCGGAUUUAUUGGGUUUAAAGGGAGCGUAGGCCGCAUGUCAAGCGUGCUGUGAAAUGUUCGGGCUCAACCCGGGCCUUGCAGCGAGAACUGGCGGGCUUGAGUCCGCGGAGGGCAGGCGGAAUUCGUGGUGUAGCGGUGAAAUGCUUAGAUAUGACGAAGAACCCCGAUUGCGAAGGCAGCUGGCUGCAGCUGAACUGACGCUGAUGCUCGAAAGCGCGGGUAUCGAACAGGAUUAGAUACCCGAGUAGUC
RNAcentral lists this ribosomal RNA (460 nucleotides) under uncultured bacterium. RNAcentral describes it as "partial 16S ribosomal RNA". It matches the Rfam family "Bacterial small subunit ribosomal RNA", at positions 338 to 795 of the family's 1533-position model. The record is from RNAcentral.